Non-coding RNA from Coturnix japonica (Japanese quail), 812 nucleotides. NCBI's taxonomy places the organism in Eukaryota, Metazoa, Chordata, Aves, Galliformes, Phasianidae. The record is from RefSeq and is a predicted model, not a curated record.
CUGUAAUUGGUUUAUAACCAUUCAUAAUGACCUGGCAGCCCUGUACGGAUAGCAACGGGGAGCGACUUAACUUGUGAUUUAUUUAGGACACUUUGAGAAAAGCAGCGGACAGCAGAUGCUGGUAUCUAAGCUGGCCCUGAGUGGCAACACUGCAGCAGUGGGGCGCAGAGGCUGCAUUCUCCUCUCCAGGCUGAUCCAGAUUUCAGUGAUGUGUUUAAUAAAAGCUAGGAGCAACUGAUACCAUUCUGAAGUGGGAUCCCUCUUUCUUCCCUUGAAGCCAAGCAGGUGUAAGAAGAUGCUUUUGGCUUCCAAGUCCAGGUGGUGAACCCAGUGGGAGCUGCUUUAAUGCUGCUUUUUUGUUACCAAUAGGGAGCAUAAGGUCAUGAGGAAAAUGGAAGAUAAUGAUAGCUUGCUUGGAUCCCCAGGUGCUCUCAAAUGGUAAUUUUUUUCCCCUCAGUGUUUUCAAAUUAGAUGGACCAAGGAGGAAUAAAUUUUUUCAAGCCCACUCUUCUCCUUCCAGGCUUGGAAUCUACCUGACAUAGUUGCCAUUACCCUGGUAACUCCUGAACACCUUUGCUAAGCGUGGCUGUGUUUGUUGACCACACAUCCACCUCCAGGACCUCACAAACAUCACCCAUCAAGUUGCCAAGCUGAUCCCUCCACCAAACUCUACUGGAGAAGCAUAGGGAAACGUGGCAGGGCAUGAUCUCAGACCAGUAGUUUGCUGGUCCCCAGCCCUUGGCCAGCUGUGGCGUUCCAGCUGCCUGAGCAGUUUGGUUCUAAUACUUGUGAAAUACAAGAAGCGUUACCUU